This is a small nucleolar RNA of Elaeis guineensis (African oil palm), 103 nucleotides long. RefSeq annotates it as small nucleolar RNA Z107/R87. Lineage: Eukaryota; Viridiplantae; Streptophyta; Magnoliopsida; Arecales; Arecaceae. The record is from RefSeq and is a predicted model, not a curated record.
GAUUGCGGUGAUGACUCAGAAAAUUUCAAGCUCAACAGACCGGAUCGCAGGUCUCUCUCUUCGAGGGAUUUGUAUGUCGACGACCCCGCUGAACUGAGCAUUC